Long non-coding RNA from Gossypium arboreum, 3594 nucleotides. RefSeq lists it as uncharacterized. The transcript has 4 exons. Lineage: Eukaryota; Viridiplantae; Streptophyta; Magnoliopsida; Malvales; Malvaceae. The record is from RefSeq and is a predicted model, not a curated record.
UUUAUUUAUGAAAGCAAAAAAAAAACAGGGGGCGGACAAAAUACGAUGGGUUUCAAAACAUUUAAUAUCCAUCAGAAAAAAAUUAAAUCAAGUUUCAUGACCUUUGAUCUGUAAUCCCUAACCAUUCCCUCCCCUUUUUUCUUCAAUCUGAAAUUCAUAGUCAUUCCCAUUCCUUCUCAUUCUUUUGAUAUCUUCCAACAAAUCUAACACCAGGUAACUAAGAUUCACUACUGUUGCAUUAGGAAAAAUGUUCCAACGAAAAAAGAACCCAUUUUGCAUGUUAUUCAUUUCGAAAUAUCCCACCUUUAUUGAUCUUUCAGUGUUUUGAUUAUUGAAAAAUCUCGUAUUUUGGUCGAACUAUAUUUCCAUCUAUCGAAAAUUUGAUCCGUUCACUACUGAACCGUACUUUCAAGUUGCUAAAAACCCACCUUCAAGAGAAAUACAUGUUCAUAUUUCGAGAAAACCUUACUGAAGUGAAACCCUGCUUUCCUUAUAUUCUGCGGUUUUGUCUGUACAAGGUUAUUGAAAAAAGAGGAUAGUGGGUUUGUAAGUGUGCAUAGGAAUAUAGACAAAUUAGGCCCCUUUAAUUUAUCAAAUCUGCCACUUAUUCAUGCAAAAAAAAAACAAUGGACUUCUAAUCAAAUGUUGUGGAUGAUGCUUGUAUAAUAUUUAAUUUAAUUGUUAAAAUAUUUUAUUCUGAUCAAAUGUUGUGGAUGACGCUUGUAAUGGACUGUGCACUUUGAGAUGGCCUUCACAAAACUCAUGCAUUUAGGUGAUACAUUUGUUGAUAACCCUAAGGUAGAUUAUAUAGGUGGGGUUGUUGAAGUGUGGGAUGUAUCCCUAAUUAUUUGUGACAUGGAGAUUUGUGUGAGUUGGUUAUAGAGUCAGGGUGUAGGGGUGUUAAAAAUUUGUAUUAUUUAACACUGAGUAGUUUAGAUGUUGGUUUAGUUCUGUUUUGUGUUUGGGAUAAUAACUCUUUUAAUCACAUGUAGAUGUGUGAAUAAGCGAGAGGUCAACAAAGGGAGCUCGCAGCAUCAGCUUGCACGUGCUAAAGGGAGUUCGUGGUCUCAACCCAUGCAUACACAAGGAGUACAUGUGUCUAAUAUGCCCGAGGUUUGCUCAGAAUGUCAGUCCAAUGAAUAGUGGAGUUAAAUCAUGAAUAGUAAAAUUAAGUCAUGAACAGUGAUAACAUGUAUAAAUAUUCGAUUGUCCCUUUCAAUGGAAAUGAGCUGCGAGUUCCCCCUGUUGACCUCUUGCUACAUUCCUCGCACACAUCCCUUAGGCGAGUCUAUCCAGGUUGCGGGUAGACGACCCAGAUCUUAUUUGGGUUUCGAGUUGGUGAUCCUUAGCGUAUAACAACAUUAAUGAGAAUAGUGAGGGUGUAGAUCCAACUUGUGAGGGACGUGAGGAAUUUCUUAGAGAGUGCAAAGGGGUUGAAGAAGCUGAAGGUAGUGAUGAUGAUCCAUUAGAAAAUGUUGAGUGGGCUAGUGACAAGGAUAAUGAGGAGUAGCAGUAGAUUAACAAUCUCUUUAGAAGUUUUAGGGAUAAUGUAGAAGAUAGAGAUGUUAGGCAAUAUGACAUCCCAAUUGAGAUAGUUUUGGAUGACCUUAUCUUAGAAAUUAAGAAAAGAAGGGCAUCUGUUAAUACUACCACAGUAGGUGAGUCUAGUGGGGUUGGGAGUGCAGCAGAUUACUUAGAAUCCUUAGAUCUAGUGAGUAGUGAUAUUGAUGAGGAUGGAGAUGUUGUCUUCAAGAAGUCAGAGAAGUGUUAUUUUGACCUUACUAAUCUAAUGCCUCAUUUUCAGUUAGGUUUGAUUCUUGAGAGUCCAAAACAGUUCAAGUCAGCAUUGAAAAGGUAUGCAAUUGCUAAGAGAUUUGAUUUUAAGUUAGCUAAGAAUGAGAAAGACAAAACUAAGGCUGUUUGCAAAUGGAGGGUUCUCCUUUUUACAGUUUAUGUUGGGGUAGAUUCAAUGGAUGAGCUUUUUAACAUUCAGGCUUUUAGAAAUCAUCACACUUGCUCCAUAACUUUUAAGAAUUCUCGAGCAUUAUAAGGUGUUGGCAAAACAUUUUUUACCUAAACUUAGAAUUAUGCCAUAUUUAAAACUGAUCGAGAUGGUGAAACUUGCUUAGGAAGAACUAAAGGUUGAUGUGUCCUUGGGGAUUUGUAGGAGAGCUAAAGACUUAGCAAAUGACCAAAUUAGUGAGAGGUAUAAGUAUGAGUUUAAGGAGGGCAGGUUUUGAUGGGGCUAUAGAUUUAAUGGUUGACAGACCUUUUUCUAAUCAUAGGCCUAGAUUUAGUAGGUUUUAUGUUUGUUUUAGUAGUAUGUAAAAAUGGUUUAAAGAGUGAUGUAGGCCUUUUGUGAGUUUGGGUGGGUGCUUUCUAAUGGGAAUGUUGAAAGGUGGCUUAUUGGUUGCUGUGGAAGGGAUGCCAACAAUCAAAUAUACCCUAUUGCAUGGGCAUUGGUGGAAAGUGAAACAAAAUAUUCUUGAGGAUAGUUUUUAGAGAAUGUAAGAAAUGAUCUUCAUAUGAUGAAUGGUGAAAGAUUUACCAUUCUGAGUGACAUGCAUUAAAUCUGAUUUUUUCUAUUGAUUGAGGGCUUAAUUGAAGCAGUUGGUCUGUAAUUCCAGAAAAUGAGCACAAAUUCUGUGUUAGGCAUUGGUUUGCCAUUUAGAAAAGAGUUUUCAAGAGUUUAGAGUUGCACAAGUAUUUUUGGAGCUGCAGCAAGGUAACAUCAGAAGCUGAAUUUCGGAAAAUGGCAUCUGCACUAGGUGAGGUGAAAAGGCAAGCACUGUUAAAAAUAUUGAAGAAAAAGCCUAUACAUUGAGGUGAGGCAUUUUUCUCAGCUAGAAACCUAUGUGAUUUUGUAGACAAUAAUAUAGCAUAAGCCUUUAAUGCUAGGUUAAGACAAGCUAGACACAUGUCUAUAAUUUCCAUGUUUGAGGAAAUUAGACAUUAUGUUAUGCACCACUUGCUGGGAACAAAUUUUGGCCUGUUACAAACAUGGGCGCUAUUGACCCUCUACUACUAAGGAAGUUACCAGGCAAGCCAAAAAAGAGAGUGCUGAAGAGGACGAAUGUAGUGGAAUCAACUUGUCUAGAAAAUGGAGGAUAAGAUGCAAAAUAUGUUUUAUGUUGGGACAUAAUUCAAUUAAAAAACAAGAUAAUAUUGACAAUAAUGGCAAUACUGGUGAACUAGUACCCAAAAGCCCUACUUAGUCUGAAGUUGAGUCUCAGUUUCGGAUACCGGUCUUGGAUGUCCUAUUGAUUGUUGAAGUCUUGCAUUUGAUGCGAAUUCUCCACAACUAGUGUGAGCAUUAUUGAAAAGGUUACAAUUACAUGAAAAGACACUUUGUGUAAGUGUUUCCCGAGUAUUCGAUGUUGUUUAAUAUGGUUCAAUGGGCACUUUAAGUUAAAUGAAAAAGUAUGUAUACGAAAUGAGCCAUGAUGUUAAGCAUGGGAAAUGAGCUAUGAUGUUGAGUAUAUAAAUUUGAUAGUAUGAUAUGUGAAAUUAUGUUGAAAAGAGAAUCUAAUGAUAUAUGAUAGAUGGUUUGUAUAUUGAAAUUUAUUUAAUGAAAUAUUACAUGAAUUAGGUGAA